Callithrix jacchus (white-tufted-ear marmoset) is the source of this 3736-nucleotide non-coding RNA. NCBI's taxonomy places the organism in Eukaryota, Metazoa, Chordata, Mammalia, Primates, Cebidae. The record is from RefSeq and is a predicted model, not a curated record.
GAGGGAGGUAGUAAAUAUUUGAUGGGAACUUCCAGCUCCUCCUGACUUGGGUGACCCUGGUGACAUUUCAGAACACUGGGCUGCAGAAUUCAUUUAAUGUCUGAGAAAUGAGGAGAAACAAAAGCAUGUAGCUGCAAUGCUCAGAGCUCAGAAAGGGCUCAUGUAGGCAAAUUCUGCAAGACAGGAAAGAAAGGGCUCUUUUUUCUUCUUCUUUUUUUUUUAGGAGCUGAGUCAGAUCAGCAGCAAACUGAGUAACCAGAAAGUGUAUGCUUCUAGGCCAAUGACCUACCCUUCCAAACUGCUAGGCACAGCCAGGGCCCUGGCUAUCUGGUUCACUGUUGUCUUCCUGGUGUCCGCAAAUGUCUGAACAAACCAACCACAGGAACUAAAGAACCCCCUGAAGGUGUCCUUAAUAAGUGCUCAAGAAAUAUUUGAGAAAUGAAUGAAUUGGUAUCACCCAUUCAACAACACAGCGUUCCUACUGCUGUGUUCCCAGCCCUGACCACUGGUGCGCUGACACUGGUGUCUCCUCACUAACACCAAACCACUGCAAUGAACUCCCCUGACACAUAGCCUCACUAACUCUCACAGCUCUGCAUCCAGAGAACUAUUUCCAGCUAACUUGGCUAACGAGGGCUCCCUGCAGGAACAAAGCCACACACCGCUGCCCUAUGGCCCCACCACAGCAGCCCCGCACAACCCAAAUCAAUGUGUGGCUGCCUUCAUGUCAGACCUCCACCAGCAACAGCCACUGCGGAGUAGUAUUUUGAAAAGAGAUGUGCAGAUCUGAAGCAAAACACACAGGGCCUCCUUGGAAUCCCGAUUCAGUGUGGCAAGCCAGGAGCUCGAAACGGCUUCUUUAUGCUAGAUCUUAGCACAGAAAGGCGCAGGCCCCCGUUUCCCUACAAACCACGCAAACACUGUAAUCAGACCUCUGCAUGACACCUCUCCGCGGCUGCCACAGAACUGUCUCAAAGCUGUGCCAAUGAGUUUGACUUGAUUACAGACUCUGAACUAGGGGAAAGCCUGGCUUUCCUCCUUUCUGCCGAACCUGUCUCCCCAGCAGCACAGCCCCAAGCUGUAGACUUGGAUUGUGACUAUGGAGUAGCUUUUAAAGGGCAGGUGUCCAGGUGCCUGGGACUCUUGAGGGAGAGCCCUGGGGGAACGACUGAUGACCUCUCCGUGGCCUUUCUGACCCUUCCAAUGGCAUCCCUGGAGUGACAGCUUCCUUAAACCACUCCAAAGUUUCAGUGUGAACCACAACCCCUCCAUGCCUACCCAGACACCGCUUCUCUUUCCUCCUAUUUUUGAAUCUCUUAACUUUUCCCAGGCCUUCAGGGACAGGAUAGGCAGUGGCUAGCGUCCCUCACCCUAAGUAAUUCUGUGUUCUCUGCAGUCCUCUCUCUUGACCCCUAUACUCCAAACCGCUUGCUCUCCUGAGUCGCACCCUGACGGUACUGGCCAGAAGCCAGAGGAGUGGGUUUGGCGCCACCUGCUCGGAGCACCCCUCCUCGAUCCCCGCGAAUCUCCAGGAGGGUCGUAGAGGUCGCUCCCUUCCAGGAUUGGUGGGUUCCGGCAGUUGUGAGAGAAGCUAGGCGGGGACGCCUCGCCCCAAGAGGCCCGGAGCGUGGACAGCGCACGGGGUGCUGAACCAGGCAUAGGAGGAGUGCCGGCAAGGGCACUGGCCCCGGGAGGAAGAGCAUCUCCAAUUAAUCUUGGAAUGAGAGCCGAGGGCAAGAAGCCAGCGGUGCCUGAGGGAUGCUAAAGAUCCAGGGAAACAAAUGCCAGCGAGGGACCCCACAGCAAAGAGACAGACACUGCGAGCAAGUCUACUGUUUCCAUGAGGCUUGCGAGGCGUGUGCGCGGGUCUCCGCAUUGGCACCAUCUGCCAAUUCCUCAGGAGGACAGAACAAACCAGUGAGGCAUGAAGAUUAGAUUAUGUAACGCUCGAGGAUUGCUGUUUUCAAAGAGGAAACAAAUGGAACGAAUUGAUUUGCUUGUCAAAGCCAUGUCGCUAAAGGAGAUCUAUUCUCUCCUCUUCUAAGAGGACCUCAUUAAAGAGUGGAAUGGUUUCACAGAUUCAGAAACUGUGAGACCACAAUCCACUCCAUUCAUAGGAGCAAGUCCACACUUUCCAGAGUUGCACUGGCAUAUCCUAUUCUAGUCCCCAAGCCUGAAGAAAUAUCUAUCCAGCUACUACCUAAAGGGUACUGAUAUGGUGAGGAACGUGACUGUCAGUUGCUGACCGUAAGAUUCAGAACCUGCGGCCAGACGUCGUGGCUCACGCCUGUAAUCCCAGCACUUUGGGACGCCAAGGUGGGUGGAUCAUGUGAGGUCAGAAGUUCAAGACCAGCCUGGCCAACAUGGUGAAAUCCCAUCUCUACUAAAAAUACAAAAAUUACUUGGGCGUGGUGGCACACACCUGUAAUCCCAGCUGCUUGGGAGGCAGAGGCACGAGAAUUGCUUGAGCCUAAGAGGUAGAGGUUGCAGUGAGCCAAGAUCAAGCCACUGCACUCCAGCCUGGGUGACAGAGCGAGACUCUGUCUCAAAAAAACAAACAAAACAAAACCCAGAACCUGUGUGCUUUGCCUGAGCUGUCUUGCUUCUGGGGAAGCAGUGUCUCAUUUUGAGACCAGUGGGAUUGUAUUUACUAUUCAGAGCUCUAAACAAGUGCUGUUGAUAGAGGAAGGAGGUGGGUUUUUUUGUUUUGUUUUGUUUUGUUUUUUUGAGACGGAGUCUUGCUCUGUCGCCCAGGCUGGAGUACAAUGGCGCAAUCUCGGCUCACUGCAACCUCCACCUCCCAGGUUCAAGCGAUUCUCCUGCCUCAGCUCCCUGAGUAGCUGGGAUUACAGGUGUGCAUCACCAUGCCUGGCUAAUUUUUAUAUUUUUAGUAGAGAUGGGAUUUCACCAUGUUGGCCAGGAUGGUCUUGAUCUCCUGACCUCGUGAUCUACCCACAUCAGCCUCGCAAAGUGCUGGGAUUACAGGUGUGAGCCACUGGAAAUGUGUUCCUAAAAAUAUAUGUAUCAGAAAAAAAAAAGUAUACACACACACACACACACACACAUCAGGAAGGAAAACUCAUUGAAUUUCUGAGAGUCCUCUGCCAUUGCUGGGCUUCUCUAAAAUGCCCAGCACAAUACUUUUUCUAGUAUCUUCAGGAGAUCUGAGGAAUGAACAAAUGAGAACCCUGAACCUGCUGCCAUGGUUCCAUCCCUCAAGGUUUCACUGCCUCCCUAAGAUACCAGGAUUUAAAUAUCAAGUCUUUAUCUAGCAUGCAGAUGAAGCCUCCUGUACCAGAUAGUUUCCAUUUGCCCUCCAGAUCGGUUCUUCCACCCUUCUCCGAGCUGCCCUUGGCCUUGGCGGGUUGACCUACAUGGACUGCAGCAGCUCGCUCUCCUGCCCUCUAGCUUCCAGGCGGUACAGCCAAUGGGAGCGGCAGCAGGAGAUGGGAGGGUGGGAGGACAGCAUGGGUGAAGUGUUUCUUUCCCCAGUUCCCUCCUGCCAGAUCGCCUUAGGUGCGUUGUGCCUUUUGAUAAAAGGUCACCCCUCUUUCUCAAGGCAGCCUGCUCCACACAACUCUCUCUUUCUGGGUUCUGUCAUUUCUCCCUCCCCUCAACCUUCAGUUCUAAGAGUGGUAAAGGCCCUGUGGGUACUGCACUAGACCUUACAGCUUUCCCAGGCCCUGCUGAAACCUUGUAAAUACUCCAUUUAUUAAAUCUUCUUCUAAUGAUCUUA